UUGACGGUACCCUACUAGAAAGGAGCCGCUAACUUCGUGCCAGAAGCGUCGGUAAUACGGGGGCUCCAAGCGUUAUCCGGUGUUAUUGGGCGUAAAGAGUCGUGUAGGUGGUUGGGUAAGUUAUCUUUCAAAUAUCUUUGCUUAACAAAGAGGAGGGGGAUAAUACUGCUCGACUAGAAUUUUCUCAAGGGAGAUCGGAACUGAGGGAGGAGUAGUGAAAUGCGUUGAUACCCUCGGGAACACCAGUGGCGUAGGCGGAUCUCUGGGAGAAGAUUGACACUGAGACACGAGAGCUAGGGGAGCGAAGCAGAUUAGAGACCUGCGUAGUCCUAGCCGUAAACGCAUGCUUGCUAGCUGCAUGAAUCUACCUUCGGGUGGUAUCGUGUGGCGAAGGUAACCCGUUAAGCAAGCCGCCUGGAAAGUACGGCCGCAAGGCUGAAAUUCAAAGGAAUUGGCGGGGAGGCACACAACCAGUGGAACAUGUGGUUUAAUUCGAGACUAACCGAAGAACCUCACCAGGGUUUGACAUGUAGCUGCACGUCUUAAGAAAUUAAGACUCUCUUGAAGGUGCUACACAGGUGCUGCAUGGCUGUCGUCAGCUCGUUCCGUGAGGAGUGCCCUUAAGUGGGACAACGAGCGCAACCCCUAUUACAUGUUAGAAAUGUCAUGUAAGACUGCCUUGCCAUUUGGCGGGGAGGAAGGAGGGGCAGACGUCAAGUCCGCAUGGUCCUUAUGCCCUGGGCUACACACAUGUUACAAUGAGUACGGCAAUGAGUCUGUCGCGAGCACGUAAGUGUAAGCUAAUCUCUUAAAUGUACUCUCAGUGGGGAUUGAGGUCUGCAACUCGACCUCAUGAACACGGAAUUGGUAGUAAUCGCGGGUCAGCUAUACCGCGGUGAUACGUUCUUGCCUCUUGCACACACCGCCCGUCAAACCAGCAAAGU
RNAcentral lists this ribosomal RNA (944 nucleotides) under uncultured organism. Its description in RNAcentral is "bacterial SSU rRNA". It matches the Rfam family "Bacterial small subunit ribosomal RNA", at positions 469 to 1411 of the family's 1533-position model. The record is from RNAcentral.